GCGGGUGUGGUGCAUGGUACACGGCUGUCCUCCUUGUCAUUGUUGAAGUUUGAAGACAGCAGAACCGGGUUCGAUUCCCGGCAUCCGCG
Mycena alexandri is the source of this 89-nucleotide non-coding RNA. NCBI's taxonomy places the organism in Eukaryota, Fungi, Basidiomycota, Agaricomycetes, Agaricales, Mycenaceae. The record is from the annotation of a GenBank genome assembly.